GGUGCGGGGGGACUCCCAUGGAGCGCGGACUCCUAAGGAAGUCGCUGGGAAUCCCACCGGCUGUACCGCAGGGCGUUAGUACCUAGAUGGCUUCGGUGCCCCCAAGCGAUGGGCUCAAGCUACAGGGCGGGCUUUGCACCUGGCCUUCUCAGCUCUGAGGCAGGCAGUGGGCAGCUUCGCCUCCACCCUCCGUCCAGCGCCCUUCCCAUGGGGCCAUCCGCCUCUCCCUAAGGCACUAAAAACCAGUGGAGGAGUCAGGCCAUGUUGGCAAAAAGGGCUCGGGCAGCAGCCCCAGACCUAUAGUCCUAAAUAUCCAUGUACCCAGCCCUGGGGUCGCGAGCCAUCUCAGGGACGACCCGAUUCCAGCGGAUGGAGAAGUUCCCUGAAAACACCUGCCUGGGAGGAGAGACGAGGGAACGAGAUUGGGCAAGUGGCAUCCGCCCAGCGGGCUUCUCAAAGGUUUUUAAAGCAGAAUGGGACGUAAUAGGAAGAUGUGUCUAGCAGAGAGUAAAAUAAAGGGGCAUUUAGAGGUGUGGGCACCUGGAUGAAAACAAAGGCUCCAAAGGGAUGAUGGUGAGGGUUACAGCCCACCACAGUAGACAGAGACACCAAGGAAGGAAUGCAGUCAGUGGCCCUGCGUAGACAGUCUCAGGAGAGAGCACACCAGCUCACCCCAGGACUCAUCCAAGGCUGGGGAUGGAUGUCGAUGCAGCAACUCUGGAAGGCAGAAGACAGUGCUUUACCAUGGAACUGAAACCAUGAAAAGUGAAACUGCAAAUGGGAGAGACUGCUGUAUAGUCACUGAAAAAUUAAUGGAUGAGCUCAACAGCAAAUUAGACACAACUGAAGUGAGUAAAUUUAACAAUAUAUAUGAAGACAUUCUCUAGAAUGUAGUACAGAGAGCUAGAGACUGAAAAUAUCUAGGAGACAAGAGACAUGAGAGAUAGAUUGGAAUAUCCAAAAUAUGUCUAACAGAAGCUCCAGAAGGAGAAUAUAAAACAAUAAGGGAAGGACAAUACAGAAAUUUGAACUGAGAAUUUUCCAAAAUUGGUGAAAGAACUUCUCCAACCCACAGAUUUAGGAAUUGCAAUGAAUCCUAAACAGGAUGAAUAAAAAUAAA
Molecule: long non-coding RNA, 1120 nt
Organism: Homo sapiens (human)
Lineage: Eukaryota; Metazoa; Chordata; Mammalia; Primates; Hominidae
Product: long intergenic non-protein coding RNA 1664
Source: Ensembl